RNAcentral lists this ribosomal RNA (661 nucleotides) under uncultured bacterium. RNAcentral describes it as "bacterial SSU rRNA". It matches the Rfam family "Bacterial small subunit ribosomal RNA", at positions 94 to 788 of the family's 1533-position model. The record is from RNAcentral.
AGUGGCGGACGGGUGAGUAACGCGUGAGAAUCUGCCUUCAGGUCGGGGACAACAGAGGGAAACUUCUGCUAAUCCCGGAUGAGCCUUAGGGUAAAAAAUUUAUUGCCUGGAGAUGAGCUCGCGUCUGAUUAGCUAGUUGGUAAGGUAAAAGCUUACCAAGGCAACGAUCAGUAGCUGGUCUGAGAGGAUGAGCAGCCACACUGGGACUGAGACACGGCCCAGACUCCUACGGGAGGCAGCAAUGGGGAAUUUUCCGCAAUGGGCGAAAGCCUGACGGAGCAAGACCGCGUGGGGGAGGAAGGCUCUAGGGUUGUAAACCCCUUUUCUUUGGGAAGAACAAAAUGACGGUACCAAAGGAAUCAGCCUCGGCUAACUCCGUGCCAGCAGCCGCGGUAAUACGGAGGAGGCAAGCGUUAUCCGGAAUGAUUGGGCGUAAAGCGUCCGCAGGUGGCAAUGUAAGUCUGCUGUCAAAACCCAGGGCUCAACUCUGGUCAGGCAGUGGAAACUACAUAGCUAGAGUUCGGUAGGGGCAAAGGGAAUUCCCGGUGUAGCGGUGAAAUGCGUAGAGAUCGGGAAGAACAUCGGUGGCGAAAGCGCUUUGCUAGACCGAAACUGACACUCAGGGACGAAAGCUAGGGGAGCGAAUGGGAUUAGAUACCCC